UUUAUCUCCUUUCUCUUUAUUCUACUUUCUUCUCCUAUCACAUCUUAUCUUUAUUUAUUUAUUAAUUGUGUAUCUUCUUCUUGGUAUAUUCUUUCUUUUUAUUCUACUUUCUUUUCUUCCCCUGUCACCACCUUGUCAACACCACACCUUAGCUUUAUUUAUUUAUUUAUUUAUUGUGUAUUAAUGUGUUUAUUUUAUCUCCUUUCUCUUUAUUUUACUUUCUUCUCCUAUCACCACAUCUUAUCUUUAUUUAUUUAUUUAUUGUGUAUCUCCUUCUUGGUAUAUUCUUUCUCUAUUCUACUUUUUUUCCUCUUCACAUUAUCAACACCACAUCAUAUUUUUGUGUUAUUUUGGGGGGUGAGGCGCGUCCUUGCCCUUUACAUUUACCCAAUAAUUCCCACGACCUGUCACACCCGCUAACUCAUCCUUCUGACGCCGCCUCCUGCAUCGCCACAACUGAUAGUCUGAUACACCAACCCAACCAGCCCGUCAGCCAGUCACCCUUCAAAACUCACGCCACUCAACCUAUUGCUCUCACGUCUCCCCAUCUCCCCACACCCCCAGACACACCGCCACCACCACCACGCCUGUGCAUCACUACCCCAACCGAAGCCCUCAUCAGCUCCUUGUAGUAUGUAGGUCCUGACGCCAUGGUGGUACUGGCAACACUGGCUGAUGCACCGUGGUCCGUGUGUGUGAGGCGGCCUUGGCGUUGGCGGUGACUACGGUGGCGUGGGAAGGAUAGUAAACAUCCCUCUGCUUGAUGCCCUCCAUUGGGUGCAUCCUUAUUACGGAAAUAUGUUAUGCAGUCAUGGGCUAAUGCUGAAGGACGAGUCUGGAGGUGCCAGCGGGAGUAGUGAAGGUCAAGGUCUCUACACCUUGGUGAAGGUCGUGGCCACGUCUCGUCGGAUUCGUAGUCUCCAGGGAGGCAAGGUGUGGUCUGACACGAGGGUCUGCGAGAGAGCGGUGCAGCCAAUCAGCUGCAGCCUUACCAACCUGCCUAGGCACCAGGAAUCUAGCUUCAGUAAACCUGGUAUAGUCAAGACCAAGACUCGCCAGUGGCAAACAGACCUUCAGAGUGAGCAGGUCACCUUCCACAUAGUGCUGUUGUUACAACAUGGUAUACAUGUGUACUGUAUGGUCUAUAUAUCACAAUGAGGUGCUGGUCCAGUAGCAUAUGGUAGACAUGUAUUAGAAGUCAUGAAACAGCCACAAAACAUCUUAGUAAAAUUGGUAAGGGUGAGGAUAUUAUUAUUAUUUUUUUUUUCCAUAAUAUAGCGUUUGAAAAUGGGGUGUGUCUCUGACACCGGCAGAUAUGGUAAAUUCUUGUUUCUCACCUCUUGCCCAAAAUUCGAUUUCCCCAAUCAAUCCUCUAAAAAAAUAAAAAAUAAAAUAAAAAAAAUAAAAAAAAUGAUCAUACUGAUGUGCAUGGACACAACCCUGACAGCCCCAGCCCCAACGCCCCAGCCAGCGCUAGACUGCUACACUUGCCCCCAUCCCCGUGUGGUACUGAGGAGUACAGUGUGCCACAGACAACAGCCCCUAACACCAGCUGAUGGCUAUAACACCACAGCUGGCAGCUACCACAACCAGCUGAUACACAUAAAUGCCAGCAGGCAGCCACCACCACUAGCUGAGUCAUCAACACCAUCCAUUCUUGAGCUGUGUGCAGUACAGUGGUGAUAAAAAUGUCGAACAAUGCUACUAUGAAAAUUAGCAAAAUAAUAACAAACUGUAUAAAUACUUCUUUCACAGGGAGAACCGUUAUGACAGUAAUGAAGGCAAUACUCUUGCUGCUUGACCCUUUCUUAAUAUUUUUUAUAAUAAUAAUAAUAAUAAUAAUAAUAAUAAUAACUAUCAUAAAUAUCAGUCAAUGAUGAUAAAUUCCCUGCAAUACAUACAUUCUACCUAAAGCCUUGGAUUUACACUAUGUUGAGCAAAGUAUCCUGUGGGAUCUUGUAAAGUCAGAGAGUAGGAUGAAGAUCUCAGCAAGUUCGGGACAGACGUAACACCUCACACUACCUCGGCCUGCCUGUCUGUCUGGGCCUCCUGGAGCAUCACAACUCUCCUCACGGGUCUGGGGGAGUGGGUGCAGGAGGACGCUUGUGUAAGGUUCCUCAUCAGGCGUACAUCACUGAGGAGGCUGCACUUCUUGACCUUGCAGGAGGUGGCCCAGAGUGAGGAGUAGGAGGAGGAGGUGUUGGAAGAGGAGACGGAAGUUUCGGAUUCCCAUUGCAGCGGGACACUUGGAAGAGAAGUAUUGUCUUGCCUCCCACUGUGGAUUCAAGGCUUAGGUGCCACACAACUGACUGUUUCUGGACAGCACACAUGAGGUGUGUGGUGUCUGGCUUAACAUGAACAUCAGAACCAGAAGAAGCCUGGCAACCAAGUUUGUGGGAAGUUCUUGUCUUCUACACCUUACAAUGAGAGCCAGCGAGUGGUGGUGCUGUGUGGCAUGCAGGAUGGGAUGGUUUGUGAGAUGAAAUAAUACUGAACAAUGCAGUCCCUUACCUUAUCAUCCUCUUAUAAAUGUAUUGAUAAGAGCUAACUGGUGAAUAUAAUCAUGUUAAAUAACAAUUCACACUUCACACAUUAGUUUAAACACUCUACAAGAAGUCAUUUCCCAAGUCUGGAAAUAACCAAAAAUGCACAUGAUGCACAAAAAACAAAAACUAUUUUUGAGCAAAGUUGAAUUUCUUAGAAUUUCUGAUUCAUUUACAGCAACAAAAGGAAACGUGAAUCAGAUAAAAAAAUAGCAUGUUGAAUUAAUAGUCCACAUAAUGAAAUCAAUAUAUUUUCUUCAAUAUAAUUUACUCUGAGGACCAAUCUGGUACUCAUCUUAGAUACUCUCAAUGGUGAUCAGUUCUUUACAGACGGGCAUCAUCAAAUCUUUACUUAUUACCAUUCUGAUGACGGCAACGCCAACACGUGCCAUUUGCCAUCCUUGGAGGUGUGUCUGCACUCCUUUGAUGGAUACUAGCUUGCCAUGACCAGUGCAGUAUUUACUUGGACUUGUACAAUAAGCAGGAAGAGGAAUCACAACAACACCACACUAUCAAAUGGUCUUAGCAGACCAAACUG
Molecule: long non-coding RNA, 3081 nt
Organism: Eriocheir sinensis (Chinese mitten crab)
Lineage: Eukaryota; Metazoa; Arthropoda; Malacostraca; Decapoda; Varunidae
Exons: 6
Source: RefSeq, a predicted model, not a curated record